Molecule: ribosomal RNA, 457 nt
Filed under: unidentified microsporidian MYX1
Lineage: Eukaryota; Fungi; Microsporidia
Description: eukaryotic LSU rRNA
Rfam family: Archaeal large subunit ribosomal RNA
Source: RNAcentral
CAGGGAUCUUUAGGUUCGCGGACCGACGAAGGGCGCAGCAGAAGGCGAAGAGUGUUAGAGCAGCAGCGAUGAUAACACGUGCCUGAAGUAGCGAGAGUGAGACAACCCCUUUGAAUUAAGCAUAUGAGUAAAGGGAGGAAAAGAAACCAACAAGGAUUCCUGUAGUAGCGGCGAGCGAAGAAGGAGUAGCCCCGAGUGUAAUCACAUUAGUGAGAUGUCAUAGAAUCUAUUUAACGAUGUUGGAACAUCGGCCUGAGAGGGUGAUAGCCCCGUGUAAGAGAUAACGAGGGAGUAGCAGUGUUUGGUAUUGCACUGUGAACGGGUGGCAGCGCCCAUCCAAGGCUAAAUAUAACGCGAGACCGAUAGAGAAUAAGUAGAGUGAUCGAAGAAGGAAUAGGCUGAAAAAGUGAAAUUGCGCAGGGAGCCGAUUGAAUCGGCCCGUCUUGAAACACGGACC